RNAcentral lists this microRNA precursor (62 nucleotides) under Limulus polyphemus (Atlantic horseshoe crab). RNAcentral describes it as "Lpo-Mir-76-P8_pre stem-loop". Lineage: Eukaryota; Metazoa; Arthropoda; Merostomata; Xiphosura; Limulidae. The record is from RNAcentral.
CCAGGUUUCUCGGCUAACGAACAUUAUUGUUUCUUACUGUUCGUUGUCGUCGAAACCUGAAC